Molecule: ribosomal RNA, 2252 nt
Filed under: Campylobacter coli
Lineage: Bacteria; Pseudomonadati; Campylobacterota; Epsilonproteobacteria; Campylobacterales; Campylobacteraceae
Description: partial 23S ribosomal RNA
Rfam family: Bacterial large subunit ribosomal RNA
Source: RNAcentral
AGGUAAGCUACUAAGAGCGAAUGGUGGAUGCCUUGACUGGUAAAGGCGAUGAAGGACGUACUAGACUGCGAUAAGCUACGGGGAGCUGUCAAGAAGCUUUGAUCCGUAGAUUUCCGAAUGGGGCAACCCAAUGUAUAGAGAUAUACAUUACCUAUAUAGGAGCGAACGAGGGGAAUUGAAACAUCUUAGUACCCUCAGGAAAAGAAAUCAAUAGAGAUUGCGUCAGUAGCGGCGAGCGAAAGCGCAAGAGGGCAAACCCAGUGCUUGCACUGGGGGUUGUAGGACUGCAAUGUGCAAGAGGUGAGUUUAGCAGAACAUUCUGGAAAGUAUAGCCAUAGAGGGUGAUAGUCCCGUAUGCGAAAAACAAACCUUAGCUAGCAGUAUCCUGAGUAGGGCGGGACACGAGAAAUCCUGUCUGAAGCUGGGUCGACCACGAUCCAACCCUAAAUACUAAUACCAGAUCGAUAGUGCACAAGUACCGUGAGGGAAAGGUGAAAAGAACUGAGGUGAUCAGAGUGAAAUAGAACCUGAAACCAUUUGCUUACAAUCAUUCAGAGCCCUAUGUAGCAAUACAGGGUGAUGGACUGCCUUUUGCAUAAUGAGCCUGCGAGUUGUGGUGUCUGGCAAGGUUAAGCAAACGCGAAGCCGUAGCGAAAGCGAGUCUGAAUAGGGCGCUUAGUCAGAUGCUGCAGACCCGAAACGAAGUGAUCUAUCCAUGAGCAAGUUGAAGCUAGUGUAAGAACUAGUGGAGGACUGAACCCAUAGGCGUUGAAAAGCCCCGGGAUGACUUGUGGAUAGGGGUGAAAGGCCAAUCAAACUUCGUGAUAGCUGGUUCUCUCCGAAAUAUAUUUAGGUAUAGCGUUGUGUCGUAAUAUAAGGGGGUAGAGCACUGAAUGGGCUAGGGCAUACACCAAUGUACCAAACCCUAUCAAACUCCGAAUACCUUAUAUGUAAUCACAGCAGUCAGGCGGCGAGUGAUAAAAUCCGUCGUCAAGAGGGAAACAACCCAGACUACCAGCUAAGGUCCCUAAAUCUUACUUAAGUGGAAAACGAUGUGAAGUUACUUAAACAACCAGGAGGUUGGCUUAGAAGCAGCCAUCCUUUAAAGAAAGCGUAAUAGCUCACUGGUCUAGUGAUUUUGCGCGGAAAAUAUAACGGGGCUAAAGUAAGUACCGAAGCUGUAGACUUGCGCACAACUUAGAUUAUUUAAGUUUAGAAUAUGAGAAACUAAGUUAUGUUUAGUUAUAUUUUUACUGAUUUUUAUAGAGUAAAGAUAGAAAUAAAACUUAGUAAAAUCAGUAAAAAUAUUCUUAGGUUAAAGUUAAGUAGUUUAAGUUGUGUGCAAGUGGUAGGAGAGCGUUCUAUUUGCGUCGAAGGUAUACCGGUAAGGAGUGCUGGAGCGAAUAGAAGUGAGCAUGCAGGCAUGAGUAGCGAUAAUUAAUGUGAGAAUCAUUAACGCCGUAAACCCAAGGUUUCCUACGCGAUGCUCGUCAUCGUAGGGUUAGUCGGGUCCUAAGUCGAGUCCGAAAGGGGUAGACGAUGGCAAAUUGGUUAAUAUUCCAAUACCAACAUUAGUGUGCGAUGGAAGGACGCUUAGGGCUAAGGGGGCUAGCGGAUGGAAGUGCUAGUCUAAGGUCGUAGGAGGUUAUACAGGCAAAUCCGUAUAACAAUACUCCGAGAACUGAAAGGCUUUUUGAAGUCUUCGGAUGGAUAGAAGAACCCCUGAUGCCGUCGAGCCAAGAAAAGUUUCUAAGUUUAGCUAAUGUUGCCCGUACCGUAAACCGACACAGGUGGGUGGGAUGAGUAUUCUAAGGCGCGUGGAAGAACUCUCUUUAAGGAACUCUGCAAAAUAGCACCGUAUCUUCGGUAUAAGGUGUGGUUCGCUUCGUAUUAGGAUUUACUCCGAAAGCGAAGAAACUUACAACAAAGAGUCCCUCCCGACUGUUUACCAAAAACACAGCACUCUGCUAACUCGUAAGAGGAUGUAUAGGGUGUGACGCCUGCCCGGUGCUCGAAGGUUAAUUGAUGGGGUUAGCAUUAGCGAAGCUCUUGAUCGAAGCCCGAGUAAACGGCGGCCGUAACUAUAACGGUCCUAAGGUAGCGAAAUUCCUUGUCGGUUAAAUACCGACCUGCAUGAAUGGCGUAACGAGAUGGGAGCUGUCUCAAAGAGGGAUCCAGUGAAAUUGUAGUGGAGGUGAAAAUUCCUCCUACCCGCGGCAAGACGGAGAGACCCCGUGGACCUUUACUACAGC